RNAcentral lists this ribosomal RNA (253 nucleotides) under uncultured bacterium. RNAcentral's name for it is "partial 16S ribosomal RNA". It matches the Rfam family "Bacterial small subunit ribosomal RNA", at positions 524 to 776 of the family's 1533-position model. The record is from RNAcentral.
UACGGGGGGGGUAAGCGUUGUUCGGAAUUACUGGGCGUAAAGGGCUCGUAGGCGGCCAACUAAGUCAGACGUGAAAUCCCUCAGCUUAACUGGGGAACUGCGUCUGAUACUGGAUGGCUUGGAUCCGGAAGAGGGAUGCGGAAUUCCAGGUGUAGCGGUGAAAUGCGUAGAUAUCUGGAGGAACACCGGCGGCGAAGGCGACAUCCUGGACCAACACUGACGCUGAGGAGCGAAAGCCAGGGGAGCAAACGGG